GAUGAAGAACGCAGCGAAAUGCGAUACUUGGUGUGAAUUGCAGAAUCCCGUGAACCAUCGAGUCUUUGAACGCAAGUUGCGCCCGAAGCCACUAGGCCGAGGGCACGCCUGCCUGGGCGUCACACGCCGUUGCCCCCCCAUCUACUCCUUCGGGGUUGCGGGGGGGCGGAUGAUGGCCUCCCGUGCGCCUAGCCGCGCGGUUGGCAUAAAUACCAAGUCCUCGGCGACGCACGCCACGACAAUCGGUGGUUGCGAAACCUCGGUUGCCCGUCGUGUGCGUUCGUCGCGCAUCGAGGGCUCGAAAAAAUGCUCGGCUCCGGCUGGGCUUUCAACGCGACCCCAGGUCAGGCGGGGUUACCCGCUGAAUUUAAGCAUAUCAAUAAGCGGAGGA
RNAcentral lists this unclassified non-coding RNA (391 nucleotides) under soil metagenome. RNAcentral's name for it is "partial contains 5.8S ribosomal RNA, internal transcribed spacer 2, and large subunit ribosomal RNA". The stretch from base 1 to 122 matches the Rfam family "5.8S ribosomal RNA", at positions 35 to 154 of the family's 154-position model. The record is from RNAcentral.